CCACCACUAAUUUUUCUUUCACUAGUAAACGUACACGUGCAAUGCACGUACUAACUAAUACUCCAUAUAUAUUUAGUCAAACAUAUUUCAAACAUCAAAAUUUAAAUUGUUGCAUGUGGUGAAACAACAUAGCUCCGUGUCAAAAUGCAAAAAAGAAAAACUAAUUUCAAACAUCAUACUCCAAUAAUGGGAACAAUCCAAAGUUGCCAAUUGAAUGGUGUUCAUCUCUUGAUCAAACAGUGUCACCUUCCAUAAGAUUUACAUUGCAAACCUGGUAGACAAAUAAAAGAAAUCAAUAUCACAAGGGAUCAAUCUUCAGAACAAUUAAAUCUUCAUAAAAAAACACUUAAAUCUUGUUCGGCUCUAUGGACCACUUUAGUGAAGCGGCAAAUUGUAGAUAAUACAACAACCGUAUCAUUUUUUCUGAUGGCAAAAGAGCAACCUAUUAUUAUCAUCAUCCAGAGUGUUUGCAAUGCCAGAUGGUUAAGGACGAACAACAUUACAACAUUGGCAAGCUGACCUCAGGGUGAUCCAUCUUUUUUCAUGCCCAUAUUGGUCAUUUUCACUACACAGGAAGUAUAUUGGAUUCAUUCCCGCAAAAAAAAGUCUAUUGGAUUUCUGAAGAGCAAACACAACAAUUACUUCAUCUUCACAGGGCCACUGGGUCCUCAAAUAAUACAACUUAUACCCUGGCAUCUUUUCUUUUAUACUCCCUCCAUCUUAAAAUGUAAGACAUUUUUUAACACUAUAAAACAUCUUACAUUUCGACACAGAGGGAGUAAGGGAGUAUCUCUUAUGCAGCUACGCUACCAGUUCAGUCUAACUAAAUCUGGUCAAUUACACAAUAUGUAAAAUAUGGCAAAAGGAGCACAUACCUUCAGAUAUUUGCGAGCCAGCUUCAGCCACUAAUCUCACCAAGACUGCUUAUCAUGUGCACCUGCAGCAUUUUUCUAUAUAACAAAAAGUUUUAGAAGACCAUGAGAUUAGGCAUUUCAACCAAUUCACUUAGAAACAUAGUGAGUUUGUAGCUAAUAUAGCUUGAUGGAUUUGUGCAGCCAGUAUCGAUGGCACGCCUUGUAUACUAUGCCUAAGAAAAUAACCACAAAACAUCUAAUUAUGCCUUUUUUAGAAAAGGAGGAUGACCCCCGGCCUGCAUCUGGGAGAUGCAUGCAACCACUUUAUUAACUAUUCACAGAGAACUUACAAAGUAAUACAUCAAUAUGUCUGAAGCCGUCAUCUUGGCAACAUCCGUCGCUACUCAUAUCCAUUGAUGAAGGGGUGCAGAAAGUAUGGGCCGAAUACCUAGACCUCUCACCUAAGCAAAUAUUCAUGUGAAAAUAGAAGUUUUGAAAACCGUAAAACCAUAGGACAGACAAACUGUACCAAGACUAAGCCAAUUAACUAUUUUUCAUCAUCAUCACUCCAAAAGCCUCGGUUCUUUCCACUUUCCUUAGUUCUUGUGAAUUUAUGAUCAAUGCAUAAUGAUCAUAAUUUGGUGCACAUGAUAAUGACAUUCUACCAUGAUAUAAUAAAAAUAAUACCCCAGCAUGAAACUAACCUUAUCGUGGUCAUGUCACUUGUCCACCAGUUGUAGCCUCAUUCUUUUCCUAUAGCUAAAAUCCUGGCCUCCAAGUCCACUACAUGCUUGCACCAUAGCACCAUCCACAAGCUAUCGUGCUCCUUCCAUUGCGAGGAAACAUGAGAAAAAUAUAAGGAAUGAACCAAGGGAAGUUUAGUUCAACAUCCUCUUUCUAACCUUUUCGAAAGAAAACAUCCUCUUCCUAAUGCAAUCAGUAGCCUCAAAAGAGGACCAGCCUAUAACAGGAAUAAUAACUAUGAAUGCAUAAAAACAAAUCCCCUUUGUCAAUAAACAGUUUGUCUGUUUAUCAUGGUAGUUCUGCAAACUGAAGUAAGCCCCUCUACAACAAAACUAAGCAUUAAUAGUUCAACUUGCAAACUGAAGUAAGCCCCUCUACAACAAAACUAAGCAUUAAUAGUUCAACUUGCAAACUGAAGAUGUUGACCCAUCAACCUAAUCCAUCACCAGGCUAGAAUAUUAAUUACCAAAAAUCAUGAACUAAAUAGAUUUGGUAACAUCAUAAUUUUCUUAACUCUAU
Molecule: long non-coding RNA, 2117 nt
Filed under: Triticum aestivum (bread wheat)
Lineage: Eukaryota; Viridiplantae; Streptophyta; Magnoliopsida; Poales; Poaceae
Description: long non-coding RNA (TAES_LNC020845)
Source: RNAcentral